AGCAGUCGCCACGGGAAUACGUAGGGCGCAAGCGUUGUCCGGAAUUAUUGGGCGUAAAGAGCUCGUAGGCGGUCUGUCGCGUCUGGUGUGAAAUCCCGAGGCUCAACCUCGGGCUUGCAUCGGGUACGGGCAGACUAGAGUGCGGUAGGGGAGACUGGAAUUCCUGGUGUAGCGGUGGAAUGCGCAGAUAUCAGGAGGAACACCGAUGGCGAAGGCAGGUCUCUGGGCCGCAACUGACGCUGAGGAGCGAAAGCAUGGGGAGCGAACAGGAUUAGAUACCCCCGUAGUCCCUGUCUCUUAUAC
RNAcentral lists this ribosomal RNA (303 nucleotides) under uncultured bacterium. Its description in RNAcentral is "partial 16S ribosomal RNA". It matches the Rfam family "Bacterial small subunit ribosomal RNA", at positions 507 to 807 of the family's 1533-position model. The record is from RNAcentral.